Molecule: ribosomal RNA, 393 nt
Filed under: uncultured bacterium
Lineage: Bacteria
Description: partial 16S ribosomal RNA
Rfam family: Bacterial small subunit ribosomal RNA
Source: RNAcentral
AUACGGAGGAUCCGAGCGUUAUCCGGAUUUAUUGGGUUUAAAGGGUGCGCAGGCGGGAGAUUAAGUCGGCGGUGAAAUUUUGCAGCUCAACUGUAGAAGGGCCUUCGAAACUGGUUUUCUUGAGUGUAGAUGGAGUAGGCGGAAUUUGUGGUGUAGCGGUGAAAUGCAUAGAUAUCACGAGGAACUCCGAUUGCGCAGGCAGCUUACUAAACUACUACUGACGCUCAGGCACGAAGGCGUGGGGAUCAAACAGGAUUAGAUACCCUGGUAGUCCUCGCAGUAAACGAUGAAUACUAGCUGUUUGCGAUACAAUGUAAGCGGCUGAGCGAAAGCGUUAAGUAAUCAACCUGGGGAGUACGUUCGCAAGAAUGAAACUCAAAGGAAUUGACGGGU